Molecule: ribosomal RNA, 198 nt
Filed under: Clostridioides difficile
Lineage: Bacteria; Bacillati; Bacillota; Clostridia; Peptostreptococcales; Peptostreptococcaceae
Description: partial 23S ribosomal RNA
Rfam family: Bacterial large subunit ribosomal RNA
Source: RNAcentral
UGGUCAAGUUAUUAAGGGGGCAGGGCGGAUGCCUUGGCACUAGGAGCCGAUGAAGGACGUGAUAAGCUGCGAUAAGCUUCGGGGAGUUGCACGUAAACUUUGAUCCGAAGAUUUCCGAAUGAGGAAACUCACUUAGAGUAAUGUCUAAGUAUCAUUAAGUGAAUACAUAGCUUAAUGAGGGGAACUCAGGGAACUGAA